UACAGAAGCCCCGAGCGUUACCCGGAUUUACUGGGCGUAAAGGGUGCGUAGGCGGUUUUAUUAGUCAGUUGUUAAAACUUCAGGCUCAACCUGGAGAUCGCAAUUGAAACGGUAAAACUUAGAAGGUGUGAGAGGUCUAGAGAAUUCUCGGUGUAGGGGUGAAAUCCGUUGAUAUCGAGGAGAAUACCAAAUGCGAAGGCACUAGACUGGCACAUUCUUGACGCUGAGGCACGAAAGCGUGGGUAGCGAACGGG
RNAcentral lists this ribosomal RNA (254 nucleotides) under uncultured bacterium. RNAcentral describes it as "partial 16S ribosomal RNA". It matches the Rfam family "Bacterial small subunit ribosomal RNA", at positions 524 to 776 of the family's 1533-position model. The record is from RNAcentral.